Non-coding RNA from Caerostris extrusa, 118 nucleotides. The record is from the annotation of a GenBank genome assembly. NCBI's taxonomy places the organism in Eukaryota, Metazoa, Arthropoda, Arachnida, Araneae, Araneidae.
AGUGGCCAUACCGUGCUACAGACCUCUUAUCGGUUCUCGUUAGAUCACCGAAGUCAAGCAUCAUUGGGCGCGGUCCGGUACUUGGGUGGGUGACCACCUGGGAGCACCGCGUGCCGUU